This 634-nucleotide ribosomal RNA is filed under the name uncultured bacterium. RNAcentral's name for it is "bacterial SSU rRNA". It matches the Rfam family "Bacterial small subunit ribosomal RNA", at positions 63 to 690 of the family's 1533-position model. The record is from RNAcentral.
CACAUUGAACCUUCGGGGGAUUUGUUGGGCGGCGAGCGGCGGACGGGUGAGUAAUGCCUAGGAAAUUGCCCUGAUGUGGGGGAUAACCAUUGGAAACGAUGGCUAAUACCGCAUGAUGCCUACGAGCCAAAGAGGGGGACCUUCGGGCCUCUCGCGUCAGGAUAUGCCUAGGUGGGAUUAGCUAGUUGGUGAGGUAAGGGCUCACCAAGGCGACGAUCCCUAGCUGGUCUGAGAGGAUGAUCAGCCACACUGGAACUGAGACACGGUCCAGACUCCUACGGGAGGCAGCAGUGGGGAAUAUUGCACAAUGGGCGCAAGCCUGAUGCAGCCAUGCCGCGUGUAUGAAGAAGGCCUUCGGGUUGUAAAGUACUUUCAGUCGUGAGGAAGGUUCGUGCGUUAAUAGCGUACGGAUUUGACGUUAGCGACAGAAGAAGCACCGGCUAACUCCGUGCCAGCAGCCGCGGUAAUACGGAGGGUGCGAGCGUUAAUCGGAAUUACUGGGCGUAAAGCGCAUGCAGGUGGUUAGUUAAGUCAGAUGUGAAAGCCCGGGGCUCAACCUCGGAAUUGCAUUUGAAACUGGCUGACUAGAGUACUGUAGAGGGGGGUAGAAUUUCAGGUGUAGCGGUGAAAUGCG